RNAcentral lists this ribosomal RNA (254 nucleotides) under uncultured bacterium. RNAcentral's name for it is "partial 16S ribosomal RNA". It matches the Rfam family "Bacterial small subunit ribosomal RNA", at positions 15 to 235 of the family's 1533-position model. The record is from RNAcentral.
GAUCCUGGCUCAGGAUGAACGCUGGCGGCGUGCUUAACACAUGCAAGUCGAACGAAGCACUUUAUUUGAUUUCCUUCGGGACUGAUUAUUUUGUGACUGAGUGGCGGACGGGUGAGUAACGCGUGGGUAACCUGCCUUGUACAGGGGGAUAACAGUUGGAAACGGCUGCUAAUACCGCAUAGCGCACAGCACUCGCAUGAUGCAGGUGUAAACGAAAAACCGUCCGGGUUGGUAAUAAGAGUCCGGGACCCCGG